RNAcentral lists this non-coding RNA (26 nucleotides) under Mus musculus (house mouse). Lineage: Eukaryota; Metazoa; Chordata; Mammalia; Rodentia; Muridae. The record is from RNAcentral.
UGCGUAAUCUGGAGCAGAUCAGUGAG